RNAcentral lists this small RNA (575 nucleotides) under Pongo abelii (Sumatran orangutan). RNAcentral describes it as "retained intron". Lineage: Eukaryota; Metazoa; Chordata; Mammalia; Primates; Hominidae. The record is from RNAcentral.
AUUAGCUCCUCACACAUCUUGUUUAGGAUGGGAAGAGGCUAAAAUUGUGAUGCCCAGGUCUCUUUGGACAGUCCUUUCUUUCUCCCCAAGGAGGAACCACCUGUUGCUCCUCAUUUGAUGGAACAGCUUGCAAGGCUUGUGAACAGUGGGCAGGGGUCCCAGAAGGGGCCCCAUGGACUACGGCAUCACUCAUGUUCUGUGGUCGGGCCCUUUGCUGUGCUGUUUGGUGGAGAAACUCUGACCAGAGCUAGAGACACCAUCUGCAAUGAUCUCUACAUCUAUGAUACCCGCACAUCUCCUCCUCUGUGGUUCCACUUCCCCUGUGCAGAUCGCGGGAUGAAACGCGUGGGCCAUCGCACCUGCCUUUGGAAUGAUCAGCUUUACCUGGUUGGGGGUUUUGGUGAGGAUGGCAGGACAGCCAGUCCACAGGUUUGCAUCCUGGACUUUAUCUAAAUAAUGCCAAGACACAUCACUAAGCCUCGUUUUGUUUUGCUUUGUUGCAAACCUAUAAAGCGUUAUCACCAGAGCUAUCUGCUUCACUUCAAAUGCUUAUUAAAUUUCAAUCUGAGACUCAA